This 480-nucleotide ribosomal RNA is filed under the name uncultured bacterium. RNAcentral describes it as "bacterial SSU rRNA". It matches the Rfam family "Bacterial small subunit ribosomal RNA", at positions 773 to 1249 of the family's 1533-position model. The record is from RNAcentral.
AGUGAAUAGAUACCCAGGUAGUCCACGCCCUAAACGAUGUCUACUAGUUGUUGGUGGAGUAAAAUCCAUGAGUAAACGCAGCUAACGCGUGAAGUAGACCGCCUGGGGAGUACGGUCGCAAGAUUAAAACUCAAAGGAAUUGACGGGGGCCCGCACAAGCGGUGGAUUAUGUGGAUUAAUUCGAUGCAACGCGAAAAACCUUACCUGGCCUUGACAUGCCACUAACGAAGCAGAGAUGCAUUAGGUGCCCGUAAGGGAAAGUGGACACAGGUGCUGCAUGGCUGUGUCAGCUCGUGUCGUGAGAUGUUGGGUUAAAGUCCCGCAACGAGCGCAACCCUUGCCAUUAAUUGCCAUCAUUUAGUUGGGCACUUUAAUGGACUGCCGGUGACAAACCGGAGGAAGGUGGGGAGUGACGUCAAGUCCUCAUGGCCCUUAUGGCCAGGGCUUCACACGUAAUACAAUGGUCGGUACAGAGAGUUG